This 85-nucleotide transfer RNA is filed under the name Felis catus (domestic cat). It matches the Rfam family "tRNA". Rfam says of the family: Transfer RNA (tRNA) molecules are approximately 80 nucleotides in length. Their secondary structure includes four short double-helical elements and three loops (D, anti-codon, and T loops). Further hydrogen bonds mediate the characteristic L-shaped molecular structure. tRNAs have two regions of fundamental functional importance: the anti-codon, which is responsible for specific mRNA codon recognition, and the 3' end, to which the tRNAs corresponding amino acid is attached (by aminoacyl-tRNA synthetases). tRNAs cope with the degeneracy of the genetic code in two manners: having more than one tRNA (with a specific anti-codon) for a particular amino acid; and 'wobble' base-pairing, i.e. permitting non-standard base-pairing at the 3rd anti-codon position. The record is from Rfam by way of RNAcentral. Lineage: Eukaryota; Metazoa; Chordata; Mammalia; Carnivora; Felidae.
GCCCGGGUGGCUCAGUCGGUUGAGCGUCUGACUUUGGCCCAGGUCAUGAUCUCACAGUUCGUGAGUUCAAGCCCCACGUCGGGCU